UUUUUUUUUUUUUUGGGGUAAUGACGUAGAACUUGGAAUUCUAGGUUAUUUGAUUAACUUAUAGUAAGGAAUGCUUAUAGAAGAGAUGCCGCAUUUAGGUAGACGUGUCAAUUAUGGAUGGUUGGUAGCCCAUACAUUUGUAGAGCUACAGUUAUGAAAGUUAAUGUGAGUGCAUUUUUCAUUGUGUUUUGAUGUGUUAUCUUUUUCUUAUGAAGUUGCUUCUGCACCUCCACCUGCUCCUAUGCAAGCUGGAUCUCCUAUGGGAGGAGGAAUUGGUGCUGCAGUUGCUGAAGGUCAGUGCCUAGUUGCAUAGUUGGGCAGCUUCUAGUAUACUCCAGGAGUUAUAGGAGGAGUUAUAAACUGAGCUAUAUUGAAUUGUUUGUUGACUUGCAGGCUUGGCAUUUGGUGGUGGCAGUGCCAUUGCACAUAGGGCUGUAGAUGCUGUUGCGGGUCCUCGGACCAUAAGACACGAGACAGUGGCCUCCCCAGCCUCUGCCCCUGCCCCUGACUCAGCAACCAUGGCAACAGGCAGCAGUCUUGGAGUUUCUGAUGCAUGUGGCAUUCAUAUGAAGGCCUUCCAAGAUGUGCGUACUGCUUUCACAGCUUUUGCAGUGAACUGAGUUUGUUUAAAUCCUUGUGCCUAUUGAGUUUUUUCCUUGGGUUUGCGAAUUGUUCAUGUCUAUUUCUUGGCCUGUGCUUAUACUCUUGAGACCAUUUUCUGUUCUCCUACUGGUCUAGGUAUUGUCCUGUCUGUUAGUGCAUAUAAGGCUGGUGCACCUGUGGUUGCUUGUUCUUGUAGCACAGGCACUUGUUGAGUCUUUUUGGCUGCUUUAGGAUUAAUCUAACUGUUUUGCUGCAAAUUGGGCUGAAAAAUUUAUCUUUUUAUGGCUGAGUUUCUGUGUGGGACUAUGUUAAUAAAAAUUCCAAAUUGUUAUUUAUCUUUUGCAGUGUUUGAACACCUAUGGGAGUGAUAUCAGCAAGUGCCAGUUCUACAUGGAUAUGCUGUCUGAUUGCCGCAAGAACUCUGGCGCUGGUCUGACUGCUUGAUGCCAUCCCUGGUAUUUUACUUCAUUUGUUCUAACUGGUGGCCCAAACUAAGUCUUUUAUGGUUCUGCUUCUAGAUGAUAAUAAUAGUGUGUAUUUGGGAGAUAUCACUGGUAGUAACGUAGUCUUUUGAUGCGCAGCCAAUGCUUGAUAUGGUUGUUGGACGUGUGAUGUUAUCCAUCAUAAAAUGACGUCGCUUUGACCUUCAUUGUUAUUGUUCUUUUCAUUAUAUUUAAUCUUUGAUGUCAAGGUAGAUUUUGAGGAGGCGGAGGCGAUUUUGAACUUGAAGAUUAUACCCUCCUCUUUUUUAUCUGUUUUUCCUUGUGAUUCAACGCUUUGAUUAGGCGUGCGGUCUGGAGUUGCAAGACAUCAAUUGUGCUGGACAAUGUCAAACUUAGCACACCACAUUCCACAGAUGUCUUGUUCUGAAAAUUUUCACACAGCUGAGGACGUAAUUGCGGUCUAACAUGUACGAAUAGCGUUAGAAAAAAAAAAAUUUUUUUGUCACAACGAUAGAAUUUUUAUGCCGCUAACGACUAACAGAGCGCUUGUAAUCUGUCCAAACUCCAAACUCGAGAUGUUACGAUUUGUUUCACCAACCAUUAUAUUUGUACUAAAAAAGAUGCAUAUUUUUGCCUCCUUAGAUGAAUUAUUGACUGUAGGAACGGAAUUCUGGCAAUUUUUUCAUGGCUGCAGGUCAUUUGGCGGACAAGUGCGUGAAUCUCCCUUAUUUGCAAAAAUUUAUUUGCUUACAUCGUCUACAUGAUUUUUUAUUAUUUUUUUGUUUCACAUACAUAUUAUAUCAAAAAGUCGUGAUAGAAUUUUUCUAAAACAUUAUUAUCUCCAAACCCAAUUAUGUCAUUUACGUCGGAGAGAGAGGCUCGAAUAAGUUUAUUUUAACUAUUCCUUAUUGAACUUUCCCAACCCAAUUUUGAUACUCAAAUUUCAUUUCUGUAUUUUUAUGCUCAAGUCAGAGACGGGUUUAGUAAGUGAACGUGAGCUUAGAAGGAUGGGAUAGCAUAUCUCCAAAAGAGCAAAUAAGGGGUAUUUAUGCUAGAGAACGUGAGAGAGGAGUAAUGAGGGCCAGAAGGAUAACCUGUGAUAAAUUAGCCUGUGAUAUAUGGACAAGGGGCACAAACAGGCUGCAGGUAUUUCAUGGCUGCAGGUCAAUUUUUUCAUGGCUGCGGUGCAAUCGUUUCUGCCGGUUGUAUUCAUUUUUCACUGUGCAUAACUUUCAUGGCAUACGGUGUAACUUUUUUUGCACACGACGUAAUUUUGCAACACUUUUUUAUGGGCCCCACACAUGACGUGAAAAUCGAGUUACAAGACGUGAUCUGAGCCGCACAAAAUUUUUUAAUCAAAUCAUGGCCGACAAUUGUCAGGAACGGUUGUCUCUGCCCCAUUUCCAUGAUAUAUCGACGGUGUCAGACUUAGACCUAAACCUUAGGGUGCUGGGCAUUGCCUGCCGCCCUAUCAAUCAAAUCAUUAGCGCAUUAAGGUUAAACCUCGGUUGAUCAGGACCUUGACUAAAUGUUGAAGACGUUGAUGCAUAAGGUGGGGGUCAAGUCGAGAUGAUUGCCGUCACAAUGACCAAGAUUAGCCCAAUGUACAACUCUUUGGUUUCUCACUCCAAGUUCCUUUGACCUAUGUUCCGGUCACAAUCUUUUGUAUAGAUUGCAAAUUAGUCGAGUUUUGGUCUAAUCAAAUCCAGUCUCGAUUCAAUUUUAUUAAUCUCAAGCUCGACCCCAAUUUCAACGAGUUUUUAAAGUAAAAUUCGAGUUUGAAUUCGACCUUAAAUUUGAACUGAAUUGAGCUCAAUGUCGAGCCUAUUUAAGUUUAAAAAAAUAAUUAUUUUGCUUUUUAAAAAAAUGAAUAAAAUGGCAAUUUUUUCUUAACAAAUAAUAAAAUAUUAGAAUUAUAUAUGUAAUUUCAUUAUUAAAUAUAUAUGUGUGUAUGUGUGUGUAUAUAUGUACAUGUAUGUAUAUAUAUGUGUGUGUGUGUGUGUGUAUAUAUAUAUAUAUAUAUAUGUAACUAGAGUUUGAGUCAAGUUUUGGCAGAAUCGGCUCACGAGCAUAUACACGAGUGGCUUGAUUCGUUUGUAAUCUUAUUCCUAGAUAGCUCAAAAAGAAAAAUUGAGACUCAAAAUCCGCUGUAGUUUGUAAUUUUCGGUGGCCUAAUAGUAUUGUAGAUGAACCAUGGGGGUUUGUCAGGUAAACAACCAUUUUAUUUUGCUGAGGCUAGCGAGCCAUGAGUAAACGACUGCUGUUCUAACAAGUUUAUCAGGCCUCUACUCUAUAAAAAAGCUUCCAACUGUUAGGUUCAUGAGUAAGGUGUUGUGUCUCACAUCGGUCCGAGAAAUGAAGAAAGAGCGGUUAAUAUGUAAGUAAGGGCUCAAGACCUAAUAGCUUAAGGUUUUGGAUCAGAGUUGGGUUCCUAAUUUAUAUAUUGGGCUCUUUGGUAGACUCUCUCGAGAUGUUUCUCCCUAACACCAACGACUGCUGUUCAGCAAAAGAGAAACAAGCAAUUGGGGAAUUUUUUUCUGAGGUAAAAACUUGUUAGCCUUUUCCUUUAAAUUCUCGGUAUUACCUUUGAUCAUUCAAAGUUGAUAAUAACUGAUUAUGUGUGAACAUCUAUGUAUAGUUUGUAAUUCAAGAUUUCUAUAAUUUAUAGUGCUUAAAUUUCAUUUUUUUUUCAAUCUUUUGCUGAAAUUCAAGAUUUCUAUAACAUUUUUGCUUGUGUUUUGGGCAUUUUAGUGUGCCUUUUUACUUUUUUUUUUCUUCAGCGGGGGAGGGACGGGAUUGGGGGAUUUGAUUGCUUGGAUUAUAGCUUUGUCAUCGCAACAGAAACCUGACAACAUCUAAGGGAAAGAAUUUUUAUUUAAUUGAAUGGAUUAUGGGCUAAUUUCUUCAACAAAAGCAACAUUUUUUGCUGCUUCUAUCUAUGCUACUAAAAAUGGGAUACCCGUGCGCCUCUGGGAACUGUAAGGACUGAGCGAGCUGCUUUCCCUGUUCAACCAUUUUCCACUUUCUUUCGCCUGUGCUGUCACUAUGUUUUGCAUGGAGGAGAGGAUCCUGCUCAAGCAUAUGGACUAAUACAAGCCAUACUCUUGUAACUUCACCUUGAUGUUAAGGAUGAUCCAACAAAUUACAAUAAUGAUACUAUGAAGAUAUGCAAUUCGUGUACCUUCUUGUAAACAUUGAUAUUUCUCGGCCAAAAAUAAAUGCAAGAAAAUUCAUGUUGUUUUAAUCUUAGUACUUUCUGUUCAUCUUGAAUAGAGGUGUCAAUCACAGUUCAAUUAUGUUGAUUCGUCCGAAUCCGCCCACUAAUAACUCGUCCAAAUCCAUCCAUUUAUUUUGAAUGGGUCUAAAUGAGCACCCAAUUAAACCCAUUUAAUUGGAGGAUAGUGGGUUGAUUUGACUCAACUAUUUAAAAAUAAUUAUACAUAUAAACUCAACUUUUAGUGAGUGUUAAGCAAAUAAUUUUGAAUUUUUUUUAUCAAUUUAAUAACAAUAAAAUACUGUUAUUGUCUAUCAAAUAACAUGCAAAAAAAUAAAUAGAAUUUUAAGUGGCUCAUAAAUGGGUAAUUGAGUAUAUCCAUACCUAUUUAUUAAAUGGACAUAAAUAGAUUGAUCUAAUUAUACUCAUUAUUCAAUCAUGACCCAUUGACGCUCGUCCAAAUCACCUAUUUUGACACGUCUAAUCUCGACGUUGAUGGAAUGGAUGUUCAAUCGACACUUGUUGAAAGGCCUCAAAAUGGCGCUGAAUAAAAAAGAACAGUGUCUAGCUACAAAUGAAUAAGAAAUGUGAGUUUGUGCACUCAUUAAAGAAAACAAAAAAAAACCUUUAUAUUUUGUGUUUCUGCCUGAAUUCAGGAAACAAAUAAUACAUCCAAGUGUAAUUGUGCAUCAGUUCAGUUGCAUAUAUAAGAAUGGUAAUAGCAUCUGCAGCAACUAUUCCGGCCUUCUUUGUAACAUAAAGAAUCAAGAAAGCUGUCUCCAUGGAAGUUUAUACACAAAGUUCGACACUGAGCUUGGCCAAUACUGCCACCAAUGGUUGCGCAGUCAUCAUUAAACCGAAUUACGCAUUUUUGGUCAUCCGCAAAAGCAAAAGGAAUUGAUCUCCCAACUGCAUUUUCAAAAAAAAAAAAAAAGAUAUCUUUUGGAUUUAACAUAAACAAAAAUAAAUCACUAAAGAAAAGGAAAACUAAAAAGAGAAAUUCAUCACUUCUUUCGCAGGUAAAGAUAAUCAAAAGAGUUAUUAAGAUUAAAAAAAAAAGAUGUACCUGGGGCAAGAAACAUAAAGGCGACAGCAAACAAAAAGGUGAUAGUAAACAGUUUUGCCAUUUCCAAAUCUGAAUAGAACUGAAAUUUUUUUUUUUUUUUGGUCUAUUAGCUCUCAUAUUUAUAUUCAGCAACCUGUAAUCUUAAAAUGUCAUGUUAUGAAUGUAGAUUUUCAUGUUUAUGAAAUUAGCUGUUGUAUACAAGGAAAAGAUAUAAUCUUGAUGUUUCUUGCUUCGGUGUUUUUAUGAAUAUUUAUGAAAAUUGAGCAAAAUGCGAUUCUAAUGAAUGCUUUAAAAUUUUCAACCCAUUUGGUCCAUCAGAAUUCAUUAAUGUCGAUAAUAUAUAUUGAAAGAAAUCCAAAAUCCGCCUCCAAAAUAUUUCCAUUCCCCAGUUAUUCACGCCUCAGUAUAUGGAAAGAAAUCCAAAAUCUGUCUCCAAAAUAUGUCCAUUCAUAAGUUAUUCAAGUCAUAUGCAGUAAGUAUGGUAAGUAAAGUAAGGGAGCAAGUGGGAACGCAACUGUGUGUGUGUGUGCGUGUUAUUUAUGGUUGUUGGUGGAUAAGGAAAAUUAUGGAGUGGUCAAAAGUCAUUGGUGAGCCUUUGACUAUAGUUUUGGUGUUUCCCCUCCUCCUUUCCCUCUAUCCCACAUCGAUUGUGAGUGGUGUGUGUGUACUAUUUAAGGUCUUCAGUAUAGCCUGAAAGUCAGCAUGUCUUUUGGGUUGGAUUGUGGGUUUCCUUUAAAUAGUGUGUGUGUGUGUAUUAUUUAUGGUUGUUGGUGGAACGCCACCGAUUCCCUGUGAGAGCCACUAUUGAUUCUCCAGAGGAAAGUCAUAUGCAGUAUGAAAUUUUAAUCUAUUAAUACGUUUGCUAUUGACCUGGCCUAUUAUAUAUAUAUAUAUAUAUAUAUUAAUAAUUAUUAUUCUUUAUUAUAUUUAUAUAUUUUUUCUAUUUAAUCUUGUUAUUUCAAAAAUAUAACAUCUGAAAUAUAUUUUAACGAGUGCCCGUUAGACAAAUCGAAUUUUUUUUAAAAAAACCUGGUAUAAGAGGAAAUACUUCCCAAAUAUAGUAACAUUUGUGCAUAUCCUCGGUACAAACGGGGUAUUGCACAAUGCUACUUAAAAAAUCACAAAUUUUUCAAACAUGAUUAAAAUGAGAGCACUAUUCAUAAGCUUGCUCUAACGUCAAAUUCCCCAUAAUGUUGAUAUUUAGCUUUUGCACUUUUGCCUAGGGACGUGAACAAGUCUAAUCAAGUUGAACACUAUACUGUUUAAAUUUAUUUGAUUAUUUUAAUGAGAUUAAAAUUUUGUUCAAAUUUAGGUUAUUUAUAUGCUGAACCGAGAUCAAACAAGUUUUUGUCGAGUCGAAUUCAAGUCGAGUUCGAGUAAUUUGAAAUUUUUAUAUAGCCAAUUUUAUACUAAUCGAACCAAACUCGAGUCAAGUUUGCAAAUUUAUCGAAUAUAACAUAUUGUUAAAACUUGAUUUGAUUUGUUAGCGAAUUAAUUUCAUACAAGUUCUUAUCAAGCUGAGUUUUAUUAAGCAUUGAAUAGUUUGAUUUAUUUUUCAACCUUAAUUUUGUUAAGUUAUUUGUAUUUAUUUAUUGAUUUAAAUUGGCAUAUCCCGAGACAGUCAAGACACAUAGGUAUUAACAAUUAAGCGGGCCCUUUCUAAAUAGAAUCAAAUUUCCUCUGUCAAGCCCAACAAUUGAUUUACGUAGCUUGCCAAUACACCAAAUAGUCCCAACGUCAAAAUUGCCCAUUCAUUUAUGGGUUAAUUUGAGAAACCUCCCCAAAAGUUCAUCCUAAUAUUAUUUAGCACUCUCAAAUUUUUAAAAAUCUUAUAGCAUAAUGUGACUGGAUGUCUCAAUUAGAGUCAUUGAAAUGACAAUAUUACCCCCAACAUUUUUAAGUAGCAAAAGGUUGGUAACAAAAAAAAUCCUACAAGCUAAAAUAUCUUAAACAAAUAACAAGAAUGCUAUCUAAAAUAUUUUUCUCCCUCUUUGUCACAAAAUUUUUUGCUUUUAAUGUUCGUAUUUACUAUGACCGAUCUCUGGUUAAUUACUUAGAAUAUCGAUAAAAGAAAAAAGUCGGACAUGUAUGGAUCUGACAAUGGGUAUAUAUAAAACUAUGGCUGCCGGGCUGUGUCAGCCCGAUUUGCUGCGGGGCUGACAUAGACUGGCAGCCAGCUAAUUUUUUUUUUUUAAAUUGUUUUGUGCUACCAGGUUGAUAAGGCCCGACAGCAUUUAAAAAAAAAAUUUACUGCUGCCGGAUAGAAGUAAGUAUAUCCAUCUGCUUUGUCCACAAAGGCUUCAUAGUUCUUUGGGAUCCCUGCAGACAGAGCAUAUAUCCACUUUGAGCAAUAACUACCAAGAGCCUAUGAAGCAUAUAGCCAAAAGUUUGACUUCAUAUUUUUUUAUCCCUUAUGUUUUAAAUAAUUAUAUUUCAAAUGAAAUAAAAUGUGAAUUAGAUUAAAUGCAUAAAAAAUGUGUUCUAAAUCUCAUUAAAAUCCUUAAAAGUAAUCCACAAUGUCAAAACAUAUUAGCCUAAAGAGCAUCUUUUCGUUAAAUUAAUUACCAACAAAUGAUAACACAUAAAUCAUAUAUAAAAGAAAAUUUAGUGGAAAAAGAAAAUUUUAAUUUGAGUAUAUAGUAAUUUUAGUUGUAAAUAGUAUAACACAAAUCGUUAUACGACUUGUGGAUAUGAGUUUCAAUCGGUUAUGAUCAGGCAUUAUGAUUAUAAUAAAAAAUAAAGGUGAUUACCAAUAUAAAGGACUCACAUGAAUUUUUAAAAGAUUUCUUGCCAUUUCUUCUUGUCUUUCCUUCAUAUUAAAUCAAAUAUUUUAAUAAUACAAUUUAAUGUAUUUAUAUUUAUGUUCAUCUUAAAUUGAUAAUUUUAUUGAAUAAUUUAAAUAAUUAUAAAAUCUUUAUUUCAAUUGAAACUUAAUUGACAAGUAGUUGAAAUGCCAAAAAAAGAAAAAGAAAAUAUUAUUCAAUCAACUCAAUGACAUAUAGUUGUUUGAUUAUAUUUGAUUAUAUAAACAAUUAAUUAUAUUUGAUAAAUUAAAACAAUUAAUUAAAUAUUCUAUUAAUUAUAUUUGAUUAUAUAAACAGUUAAUUAUAUUUGAUAAAUUAAAACAGUUAAUUAAAUAUUCUAUUGUUUAUACCAAUUGAAACUCGUAUAACGAUUUGUGUUAUACUAUUUACAACUAAAGUUACUAUAUACUCAAAUUAAAAUUUUCUUUUAUAUAUAAUUUAUGUGUUAUCAUUUGUUGGUAAUUAAUUCAAAGAAAAGAUGCUCUUUAGGCUAAUAUGUUUUGACAAUGUGGAUUACUUUUAAGGAUUUUAAUGAGAUUUAGAACACAUUUUUUUUGCAUUUAAUCUAAUUCACAUUUUAUUUCAUUUGAAAUAUAAUUAUUUAAAACAUAAGGGACCAAAAAAUAUGAAGUCAAACUUUUGACUAUAUGCUUCAUAGGCUCUUGGUAGUUAUUGCUCAAAGGGGAUAUAUGCUCUGUCUGCAGGGAUCCCAAAGAACUAUGAGGCCUUUGUGGACAAAGCAGAUGGAUAUACUUACUUCUAUCCGUCAGCAGUAAAAUUUUUUUUUUUAAACGCUGUCGGGCCUUGUCAGCCUGGCAGCACAAAACAAAAUUUUAAAAAAAAAAAAUUUGCUGGCUGCCAGUCUAUGUUAGCCCUGCAGUAAACCGGACUGACACAGCCCGGCAGCCAUAGUUUUAUACGUAUCCAUUGUCAGAUUCAUACAUGUCCGACUUUUCUUUUUUUCAUCGAUAUUCUAAGUAAUUAGCCCCGAUCUCUUGAAAUUUUCACUCUAAUUUCUUUCUUUGCUGCAAAAUUUUUUUCUCUCUUUACCACAAAAUCUUUGUUCUUAAAAUUUUUGCCUUUUUAUAAUGUUCAAGUAGUUUUAUAAGCUACCCUUGUAUUUUUUUUUUUUUUUUGGAGGACUCGAACCCAAGACCUCUUGCUUACACUCCCUCCCCCCGUACCACCCAACCCAACCCUCCCCCCUAUAAGCUACCCUUGUAUGCAUUGUUUUCUAGUUACGAAACGAAUAAAUUUAUCAUUUAUUGCACUCACAUCUUCUCAUAUUUCAAAUUUAAUAUUCCACCUUAUUUGUCUUUGUUUUCAUAUUUCAAAAUUCAUGUAUCAAACUGCAAAAGGGCAAAAAUGGAAAUAUAAUAUAAUCUCUUUACUCCAAUGCAUUCUUUAAUAUUACUUUUAUACAUAAGAGGUGAUAAUGUUACAUAAAUUGUCAUUUCAGGGGAGCUAUGUGAUAUUUUUGAAAUUUUAGAGGAGCUAGGUGAUAUUAGGAUAAACCUCAAGGAAGGUUUCUGAAAUUAACCCUUCAUUUAUAUUUGGUUUCUUCCGCCCAAACCUCAGUUGUCCAGUCACUUAAAUUGUUCCUCUUCACCGGCUCCGGAAUGAUAUAUCGGAGUAGCCCGCCGGAGUUCUCUGGUUUAUGAUUCCCUCCGUUUCCGACUCUGCCUCCGAUGUAUAUUUCUCAGGUAGCUUAUUAUUUUAUCCUGCAUGCAAUUUAAAUCUGUAAAACUUCGCAAAGAUUUGGUGCAUGGCCUAUUUUUUCUUACUCUCUCUUCGUUUUUACUUGUAUGGUUUUUCCCCUAUUUUUGACAUUUGACGUUUGUUGGUGUUUGAAAUUUUCUUUUUUGAGUUGCCAGCUGCAGUAUUUUUUGCAAGGUUGCUGGCUUUGAAUUGAUCUGGUUAUUAAUUUGGUAAGUACUUUGGAUUGCAACUAUUGUGCAUAAUAACUUCAAAAUUCUUCUAUGCACUUCAAUUUCAAUAGUUUGAUAGUUAACGUGAUAGGUCUUUGUAAUUAUGACACAAAUUAAAAUGAAACUGGAAGGUUUGCUAUGGAUAAUCGGAGAUUAGUACUUAAUUGGAAUCGAUAAAUAGGUUUUAAAGAUGUUUUUCAUUACAUUUGGGGGCAAAAGUGGCAGUUUUCUGAGGACACUUGAGUGACAAAUUUUGUCUGAAUCUAUACAUGAGCGUCUUGUUUCUAGUUGUUUUUGUUGAUAUGCUCAAAAUUCUGUGCAUUUCGCAACAGUGGAGGGAUCCCAUUCGUUUAACUACACUUUUGCUUUGCACAUUGUUUUAAGUACAAUUGAGUGCUAGGAAUGUAAGUGUAUGAAUAAUUAAUUGAGGACACUAAACUUACAAGAAAUUGUUGCGGCUAUCACCAAUUUGAGAUCGUGUGAGAGUUCUUUGUUUUGGGAAGGAAUUGCUGAAUAUAUGUUUUAAGUUGUGACACAUUUAUUGAAGUCGCUUGUGGAAAAGUGGGAAUGUGUUGAGCUGUGACAGAUCUUUGAUACUAGGUUUGAGAUUUUGAUUUUUCUAAAAUUAGCAUUAUAUAUCUAUGGUUAUAAGCAAUGAUUAAUGCUCGUGUUUUGAAGUUUGUGAAUGGGAGUUUCCUCUGCAUUUCUUUGUCCUGGUUUGGUCAUGUACAGUUUAUUAGAUACAUAAUCUCUCAUAUAUGAAAUGCGAGUCUUUGAUGUAACUUUUUUCCAUCUUGUAGUUCACAUAGUUAUGGCACUUUUCAAAAUUUGGUCACAACUGAAUUGUCACUCUCAAACUCAUGGACUGGAUUUACACUUUUACGAUUAGAGGCAGAACGUUAAUAUCAUGAACUGUUUAGGGAAAAAUAUGUUGCACUGAGUAGUUGACGUUUAUCCGAGAUGCUUGGUGGCAAUAAGUUAAUGCACCAGCUCAUGCAUUUGGAUGCUUUUAUUGUUGUAAUUAUACAUUUUUCUAGUAAUAUUUGGUUAUAGAACCAGCACUAACCACCCGUUUGGUUGGAGGGUUUUGCCCUCCUCAAUGGGAAUGAAAGGGUAAUAAAACCCAUGCAUUAUGUUUGGAACACCUCUAUGGGAUUGGUCAUUACUCGCUUUUGGGUCUUCCAAUCCCAUAGAUUGAUUAUAGAGUAAAUUGGGGACCAUCAACCUCAUCCUCUGCUUAGCGCAUUUUAAAGUAAAAAUAAAUAAAAUAUUCCAUCGAAUUAAACCCAAGAAGGGGAGAAAAAGCGUAUGCCAUCUUCUUCCCUCUCUCUUUGUGUCUUCUUUCUGCCCCUUGCUGGCCAUCCUUCCCAAGCUCUUCCACUCUCUCUUUUCUUCCCAUGCUUAUAGAUAUGAUAAUAAGUUGGAGCCGAAAGAGAUUGAGAUGGCCAAUUCAUCCACAUAAUUGAUAGUGGAUCUCUUUGGUUUCUUUCACUUUUCAACUCACCAUAUGAAUCAGCUCUGCCCUCUCCAACAAUUAUUUGACCACAACUUCCCUGCAGAUUCCAUUCUCACCUUCUUCAGAUGGUCCCGAGAUGGUUUCCAGGUUACCCAUCCUUUACAAUUUUUAUGCAAGUUAAUAGCUUUACUAGCAAAUGAUAAAAAUAACCCCAAAAAAGUGCGAUCUGUAUUGAUAGUGGAUCUCUUUGGCAGUCGAUGACUCAUGGAUCUGCCCAUGAAAUUUGGAUCUUUAUCAAAGAAAUUGUUGUGCUCCUAAGAGAUGAUUUGGUCAGAAAUAGUUCAAGGAAAAACAAUGGCUUUGGAUGUUAAGAAAUUAGGUUCUUGAUUUUUGAUGAAAUGUUUGGAAACUAACAAAGAUUUUGUUAGUGUGGGGAUCUGAUUUAAGUGCUUUCGCACUUUGUGAGCUUUGAUUGAGAUUCAUAUGGCGAAGGGAGUGGGUUGAUGGCAACUUUGCAUGUCAAAUCAGGGUUCUUCUUCCAAAUUAACAUGGAGAAGACGGGAAGAAGGACAGAAAAAGAAAUAAAUAAUUAAAUAAAAGUAUGGGAUAAGCGAGUACCAAACAUCAGUAAAGGGAUGCAGGAAUCUUGAAAAAAUCCAUUAUCAUUGUAGGGGUCUUUGAUAGUGAUUGUCAUUGCCAUGAUCUAGUAGAAACCGAACAGUUUGUAAGAUGCUAAUAUGUACUGUAUCUGGUGAAAAUGUAUCACCACGGCUGGCUUUUACAUCGCUUUAGUGCCAAUUUGGGAUCUACCUUCUUAUUAAUUGUCUUGCUGAAUUGGAAUAUUAGAACUUCAUCUAAAUAUUGCCUGUAGUUUGAAAGCCAUACUGGCUGCUUUGAUUCAUUGAUGGUUUCUUUAAAUUUUGUUGUAGUUUAUUUUUAACCAAAGUCUUGAUGUAUCAACACUGAAUUUAUUUAGAUUUUCUUAGACCUGAUUUCAAAUUGGCUCCUAUUUGUAAUAUCAGCUUGAUGUGAAAGCAUGCAUAAAUUUUAUGGCUCGUUUGUGUUAUGGUUUGCAGUUACAAAUAUGGAGAGGCCAAGAUCCUCUCCUGAGCAAGUCAACAUAUUAUCUGAUGAUUCAUCUUCUGAUGACGGUGCUGGACCAGAAAGUAAACGGCUACGAACUGCUGCAGAGAUCCCUCAACGAGCUUUACAGAUAAUACCUGAAGGUAUUUAAAUAAUUAGGUGCCUUUCGCUCCCAAGAUGCUUGUAUUCUAGACAGGAAGAGACAUAUCUAUGCAGUCUCUCUUCACUUCGCGCUCCCACCCAUGCCCCACCCUAUGUUCCCUCCACCACCUCGACUUCCCCUUUAAGAUGCAUGCUAAUUUGCUACUUAUAUUGGCAUAGUCUCUUGUUUCACCUUUUCUUUACCACAAAUUUGGUGGUCAAUUUGAUAAGGUUAGAACUCUUGUGGUCCUUGAUCUACAGUACAUUGGCACCAAUAUAACAUUUAAAGUAGCCUUGGGUUUUACAUUCCAUAAUAUGGAAAUAUGCAGAUGGUUCACUGACCGUGGCUUUCACUGACCUUGUUUAGCUGGCCUCUUGUUUUAAUGUGUUGUUUAUUUACAUUUAACUCUAUGUUGAAGCUAGAGAGAUGUUGUGACUGGAGACCUUUAUGAUACUAGAGAUAGCAGCGGAUACCUUUACAUGUGGGCUUUUUAUGCUUGAUAUAUCAUAAUUUUGACACUGGAUAUGGUAGUAUUCUGUCACCUUGUGAUCUUGUGCAUUCUGUGCUGCUUUCAUUAGUGAAUUCUAUCUGUGUAAUAAGUUGUUUUUCUGAUUAAAUAGAACGUAAUCAUUCCAUUGCCAAGCAGAUGUGAUGCUAGGAAAGGCUCAAACGUACCAAGAAUACAUGAGACAGAUUCCUAUCCCCUUGUUACGUGGCUCUGUUGUUCCAUUUACUUCUUGGACUGGAUUGGGCACAUCCCUUAAGCAACUGUAUGGGCAACCCCUGCAUUACCUCACCAAUGUGCAUCUGAGACAAUUGGACAUAUUGAGAAUUGGAGCAGAAGAUGAAGACAGGCCACUGGAUACCAUAAUUCCGCCUCCUAAAGCCGAAGCCAGCAUCUGGCUUAUUGAAGAAGUUCACCGGCUGUCCUCUUCACAUCAUCAUCUGGCUAAACUUUGGCAUAAUGAUCCUUUGCAUCAUAUUUUUAUUGAUCCCAUUUUUAUAGAACUGCAGAAGCCAUCUCGUUGAGCUCCUAUGGUGCAACAUGUAUUGUAGAUUGAAAGUUGUACAUUCCUGUAGUUUACUGGAGAUGAAUGCCCUUAGACAGUUUGAAAUACUCUGUGUAUAUCUGUAGACCAGUUUUAAUUGCUACAGCGUUGAGGCAAAUUUGUCAGUUUGAAAUCGGCGAAUCUCGUCUCCUUUACCAUGUUUUUCUUUUUGCCUACGAAGUGAAUUUGAAAUACUUUUAGCCUUUGCAACCACAUUUCUUUUGCAUAGGAAAAUUUGAACUCCCUUUUAGAGCAUUUCCAGCUGUAGCUGUGGAAAGGAAAAGGAAAUUCGUUACCCCUUUUUGUUGCGUUGUCACGUUAAGAAUUUGUGUUAGUUUCACGGGUCUUUUUACCCCUUAUCCUAAUGUACUCUAGAUCUCUUGUUUAGGUGAAAGCACAAAAUUUCUCCUGUUUAUCUUGCUGCCUGAUCUGCACAAUUUCAUUAUUGCCAGCAGUCCUAAGGGAAACACAUCCAUUCUAAAAUGUAGUCUUGCUUUCCAAUGUUAUACUCAUUGUUUGACUUUGAAAAGACCCGAAAACCAAGCAAUUGGUUAGCUAAGUACCAUUUGCUAAGAAUAUUUUCGGCUAAAUGUAGAUUAUGCUUGUUUUGUUUGGUUAACCAAUACAGUCGACCCUAUUCCACCAAGUACUAAUUGGUCAGCUAAGUAUCAGGAUUCGUUACGAUUACUAAUAAUAUUGUUGGAUUAGUGUAAUUUCAGCCGAAUCGUCAAUGGACAAUCCAUGCACAUACCUAACUAGGUUAUGAAACAACCAAGUGUUGAACUUUUAGCUCAGUAGCUAUAUAAACAGUAGUCGCACUGGCCAUUAGAAGUGAUUGGUAUUUUUUCUACUCUAAUUUUUUUUCCAAAAUUAAACUCAAAUGAGAAUUAAUUACUUUGAGCAAUGGAGUAAGAAAAUGAUUAAUUUUAUAUACACUGAUACUGUAUACAAUAUCACCGUUGAAUUCUUUUUUUUUCAUGCAACUAAUCUAAAUUUUAAAUUGAAAUUCAAAUUUUAUAUAAUUGUCAAGCAUCCAACUGCAAUAGUAUACUGUCAGUGUAUAUAAAAUUAACUCUUAAUAAAAAAAUAAAACUAUGAUUUUAUUAGGGAUUUUUUAAAAGUUAAUUUUAUAUAUAUAUAUACUGACAAUGUAUAUACACUAUCAUGAUUGGAUGCACGACACACAUGCAAAAUUUGACUUUCAAAUUCAUAUUUAAAUUAUGUACCAUAUAUCUAACGGUGAAAGUAUACAUACUGUCAGUCAAUCAGUGUUUUUAAUCCCUUUGCCAUAUGAUUUUAGUAAUACUCUCAUAGGGAAAAAUGCACUUUUCAUCCUCAAAGUUUGGGGGGUUGACCAAUUUCAUCCUCAAUGUUUAACCCCAAACACAUUUCAUCCUCAAUGUUCCGUAAUUUUGACCAAUUAAGGACAAUUGACGGGAAAUAUCCAAUUGACCGUUACAACCAACGGUUUUACCCAACAAAAAAUGGGUAAAACCGAAUGGAGCUAACUUUAAAGGAACAAAAUGCAACGGACGGACGAAAAGCUCCAUUGUUGUCCUUUUUCCCUCUGCCCUUCAACCCCAAAAUUUUCUUGCCAAUCUUUGCAGCUUUAAAUAUUCAUCCUCAGAGCAUCUGGCAGUGGAGCUCCCUGUGCUCUCAUUUUUGGCUAAAUGAGGAGCAGAAGUUCUGAAGUCUCCAGUGGUUCAUCAACUCCAUUCUGCAAGUGUGGGUUAAGAACAAAAAUGAGCACCUGUUGGCGCGGCGAGAAUUCGGGAAGAAGAUUCCUUGGUUGCUCUCUGUGGCCGGUAAGAAAUAUUUGUCUAAAAAUGUUGGUCCUUCAAUGUGUUAAUUUAGCUAACUAAUUUCUGAGAAAUGUCAUUAUUGUUAUGGUAGAGACCCGAGAGAUGCAGGUACUUUGAAUGGGUUGAUGAGCCAAUUUGUCCAAGAGGGAGAGUUCUCAUUCCUGGUUUGCUGAAAAAGACUAACAAAAUGGAAGAACAAGUUGAAAGAAUGCGUAAGAGGGAGAAAUUUUUAUUAUAAUAAUUGUGCUUUUGGUGGUUUUGCUAGUACUGAGUUGGAGCAGUAAAGGCGAGGAAAAAGUAAAGGGAGGCAAGUUGCUGCUAACACUGGAGUGAUUUUGGUAAAAUUGCAGAAGAAAGAACAUUUUGAAGCUGGCUGUGUUUCUUUGUUGGAACGAGAGUUGCAUUUUUUCCUAUGAAGUAAUAUCCAAUUGCAGGGUAUAGAAAGGGACUUAUUUUGUUUGUACAAAGGUUCCAAAUGAACUCUGCAAUUUAUGUAAAAGGUGGGAUUUAGGAAGGGAAAUGUAUCUGGCAACAAUGCAAUUUAUGAACUCUGUAAUUUAUUUUAUUUGUAAAGCUAUGCGUUAAGUGUAAGAAAAUGGUCCUUGUCAAAGUGUUGUUCAUAUCAUAAAUAUAAAAUGGCCAUGAACUGAUGUCCCACAUGUAUUGAUAACACAAACAGAUGCAAAUAAACCACGCUGGAAAACAAAUGCAAAUAAACCAAACUGGCAACUAAGCUGAUAAACCAAGAUUGUCCCACAUGUACUGAUAAACCAAGUUGGAACAUAUAAACAGCUGCCAUAUCAUAACUUCAAUACAAUUAAAGUGCAUUCUCAAUGAAAUAAAGCAAACUACAAGACUGUUGUUGAACAUGGGUCCAUAAAUGAAAUAAAGCCAGCUAUCACAUUACAGCUUGCACUUCCAUAAUUACUAGGCAAAGCAAAAGUUGAAACAACAAAAGUCAUUCACUAAUUACAAAAGCAGCAACUUGGCUUGAACAAAAGCAGCUUGGCUUGAAGAAAAUUCAGUAUGUUGUUUCUCCUAUCACAGUAGUUUCUCCUUUCCCUUCGAUCUAGAUGAACUAGGAACACUUAAAUCUGCCUUGCCAGCAGCAGCAACAUGCAUAUGAACAUCUCUAAUCCUGAAUCCCACAUGUACUUGUUCUUUAGUUUGUGUUCUGGGUUCCUUGGUGCUAUAUUUCACUUGAGACCUUGACAGCCCAAACACUUCGAACAUAUCCUGGUCUACUUGAUCUGGGGCAGAGGAUGUUAUGUCAAUCUCAACUAGUGGCUCAGCAUCCUGUUGAUGUUCAAUGUUUGAAUCAUCAUUACAAACUGCAGCUGCAACUCUUCUUGUAUGUCUAUGUCUCUUCUGCACAAAACAGUGAGGUAGCAAAAAUCAAAUUGCAUAAAGACAGAAAAAUCAAAAGAUGUAGCAGGUUUUUUUACCCUUUUAUUUGAAGACUCAGCAGCAGCCUUCUUGGUUUUCUUUGUUCCCUACAGUUUAAAAGGAAAACAUGUCAUUUAUAUAACAAAUAUCAAAGAUAGCUGUAACAAGUCAUCAAAACAACUUACAACUUUUUUUCCAUCUUGGCUAGCUGGAUUGUUGGUAGAAGCAGCAACUUGGCUUGAACUAAUAUCAGUUUCUGCAACUGCAGGAACUUGAGCAUCUUUGAGAAGCUUGCAGGACCUCAUAUUAUGUCCCCUUUGAUGACAGUAUCUACACUUGUUAAUCUGUCCCACUCUUGUCACCUUCUUCUUAGUUUUUUCCUUGGCUUGUUGAACCUCCUCUGCACUUCUCCUUCUCAGCUUCUUAGGCCUUCCAGGUGCUCUCCCAUAUAAGGGUGGUAAAGGACCUUCACCAACAUCAGUAAGCCCCCAUUCACUUUCUCCAUUCAUGGGACACACUGAUCCUUCAUAGCACUUCAUAUAUGUCUCCACUGUAUACCAUUUUGAAACAUAUAGCAGAGGAUCCUUUUUAGCCAUCCACAAUGCAGCAAUGGCAUGGGGACAGGGAAUACCUGUUAAUUCCCAUUUUCUGCAAGAGCAUGUUUGCUCCUUGAUGUUCACUGCAAAUUGGUCACCAUAUGGGCAACUGACUUCAUAAAGAUCAUCAUUUGACUUGAAUGGAAAACAGUCAGGUGCUCUAUCUACAUUUUUCUGCAUAAUGUGAAGAAUUCUGGGGCAAUAAGGAUAAGUCUGCCACUUCUCUUUGGCCAUAUCCCUAUUUUUUUGCAUUCUCUGCAUCAUGUACAACCGUAUUGCUUCAAACAUUUCAAUUAUUGGCUUCUCCCUAGCAUCAAGAAUUUUGCUGUUGAAGCACUCACAGAUAUUAUUCAAUAACAUAGCACAUUUAGGAUGAGUGCUAAAAUAAGCUCUGCUCCAUUGACUUGGUGGUUUGCCAUCAAACCACCUGGCUGCCUCUAUAUCAAUUUGAGCCAUUGCUUCCAUUCUGCUAAUGAAUUGAGCUGGUGUUGUUGCUUUGGCAACAGUCCAUAACGCUCUCCUCAAACCUUCUCCUUUGAAACCAGCAGAUGAAAAGUUAUUGUGCAAGUGUUUCACACAAAAUCUGUGGGCUGCAUUUGGAAAAAUCAUAUCACAUGCUUCAAUUAGACCUUUUUGUUUGUCACUCAUUAUUGUCCACUCAUAAUCCUUUUCAAUUUUCAAAUCUUCUUUCAAUAGUUUGAAGAACCAGCACCAUGAGUCCUUACUUUCACCCUCUGCUGCAGCAUAUGCUAUUGGAAAAAUGCCAUUAUUAGCAUCAACUCCAACAGCUGCUAGCAAAACUCCUCCUACUGAUCCUUUCAAAAAAGUACCAUCUACUCCAAUAAAUUGCCUACAUCCAGUUAGGAAACCAUGCUUCACUCCAGCAAAACAAAUGUACAGCCUCUCAAAUCUGCCUUUCCCUGUUUUUGAGUCUCUAAAGCCAUCAACAGUUUUCAUUAUAACAGUGCUACCAGGGUUGGAUCUUAGAAUUUCAUGCAUAUAAACUCCUAAUUUGCUGUACUGGUCCUUUUCACUGCCCUGAACAAUUUUCAUUGCUUUUCUCCUUGUCCUAUAUGUUUGAUUUUUUGUGAAGGAGCACCUAUUUUCUUUCAUUACUGUCUUCCUAAAAUGCUCCAAAUCUAAUUUAGGAUUACACCUAAACUCUUCACAGUACUUCUUAGCUACCCAUCCAGAAUGCACAAGAGGGUUAUCAUAUGUAAAACCACAUGUGUGAUUAUCUUCAAAUGUUCUUAUUUGAAUAGUUCCAUCCCCACUUAAUUUUCUAGCAUAUAUAACCCAAUUACAUUCACUAUUUCUGCAUCUAGCCCUCACCCUCACUCUAUCUUGUUUCACAAACUUACAAGGCCUGCCUUGUUUCACACUAUAAUUAUGUACAGCAGUCUUGAAAAGUUUCAGACUUGUAAAGGACAUAUACAGCUCUAAUUUUGGAUUGUCAAUAUGCUUAGGAUCAAAACUACGAGACCUCAAUUUAGACUCUUCAUCAUCAGACUCAUGAAUGCUUUCAAAAUCAGAUUCAGAAUCAGGAACCUGUUCUGUUUCAUCAGAAUCAGGAACCACCUCUGCUUCAUUCAAAGGAUCAGGAACCACAUUUUCUUUCCUGUGAUUAUCUACUCCCAACCAUUCAGCAUUUUUGUCAACAUUAUCAUGAAAUAUACCAUCAUCAGCAUCAUCACCUAUUUCAUAAUCUGAAUCAAUAGCUGAAAAAAAAGUCUCAUCACUUGCGUCAGAAUCAUUAUCACAAUUAUUAGCAGCACACCUUCCUUGACCUUCAUCCCUAUUCUUAUUGUUACCAUCACCAUUUUGGAGUUCAUUUUCUGUCUCAUCUACCUCAUACGGAUCAUAACCAAGUUGUUGCACUAGAAUUUCAUGAAAAGAUACUUCAAGAUAUAAGUUAACUUCCUUAGUUGGUCCAACCUCCCCCUUAACAUAACCAUUUAACUCCCUACUGCUGUCUAUCCUCCUAAAGGUGUUAUUUUCCCAACCAUAGUACACCUUAUGACCAUAUACACCAGCACUCUCAGUUAAUCUAUCCAUUUCGAAAACACUUAGACCUAUACUCUCAACAUAGUCAAACAUACACAAAUCUCCACCUUCGUAAUGGGGAUCAGGAGCAUAUGAAAUGAGGCCUCCAUGGUGACAUCUUAAUGUAAUAAAUGUGCUGCCCGUUUCUGGUUAAAGAAAAUAAUAUAGAUCAGACUCUUCAGGAAAAAAAAAUGCUUCAUCAUUUCAGCACAACAAGUAGUUGACCCACACAAAAACUACCAAACAAGGACCACUUUCACUUUUUCCAUACACAUGGCCAGAUACACAUGGCCGGCAAAAUCUACCAAGUAUUAUUGUUUAUUAAUCACUCUCACCACAAAUUUAUAGUCAAUCGGCAACUAUCAUCAGACAUAAGGGACCACAUUCACACUAUAAUAAUCAAACCAAGACAAAUUUUUUGCUUUAUUUAUACCUCAUGCAAAUGGCCAAAUCUGGGAAAAAAAUAGCCGUACAUUGUAGUGGGGAAACAGUACAAACACAAGGGACCACAUAUCAGGUUUCCUUCUCCAAAAAAACACAUAUCUUUAUGCAAUGUAGUUGUUGAUUUUGGGUAUAAAUACCGUAAUUUGGGGGUGGACAAAUGUGGAGCUCUUUCUUCCGCAAUGCCAUAUUUUUCUUCACCUAAAAUGCUCCACGGAUGCCGUCUAUGCCCUCCUUCUUGCUAGCAGAUGCUCGAAAAGUGGAUGGAAAGAUUGGCACAAAAAUUUUUAGGGCUGACAACGGAGAAGAAAGAAGGAGAAGACAGAAGCUUUUUUCCUUUCGUUUUGCUAUUUUGUGCAUUUUUGUCCGUUAGAAUAAAUGGGUCCAUUCGGUUUGACCCGGUUAUAUUGGGUAUAAAGUUCGAUCUAACGAAUUGUGCUUCUCACGUGCAAAGUUCCGUCCCAAUUUUUGAUUUGUCCUCCAAUUCCCGUCAAUUGUCCUUAAUUGGUCAAAAUUACGGAACAUUGAGGAUGAAAUGUGUUUGGGGUUAAACAUUGAGGAUGAAAUUGGUCAACCCCCCAAACUUUGAGGAUGAAAAGUGCAUUUUUCCCUACUCUCAUAAGUCAAAAAUCCUAUUUUACCUCACCACUUCUUCCUGUUAACGCAAGCACAACGAUGCACAGGAGAGCCACGGAAUGAUGAGUCAACAAGUAGUUGAUUGGCAUGAUUACAGGAGCAAGCAGUUAAGCCAAUCAACAUAAAAACAUAUGGUGUUGAGGAAAAAAAAUGAGUGCGACCUGUGAAUUGACUAUGUGAGGUGACGGUAAUGGUGGUUGAUUUUUCUGAUCAUGGGGAUGCUAUGCUACUAGUUCAUCUUACAUUUUCAACUUCUUCUAAUUUACGGUUAUAUGACCCCAUUCCAGAUUGGCGUUAGUUUUGAGCCAUGGAAGGACAAAAUAUUGAGCACUAUAAUCUUCUUUUUGGUAGCAGAUAAUAUCCUUUGACGGCAACGACUAAAGACUAAGGACAAAGAUCUUGUUCCCUAUCGUUUAAUUUGAUUUCUAUUGUAUCUAUACACAAAACCAAUCCGUCCAAUUGCCAAGUGUUUAAUUUAUUCUUUUUUUUGUGGUUUUUUUUUUCUUUUAAAGAAAGAAGGAUGGAAUUUAAAAUGUGAGAAGGGACAGAGAUUUGAAUUGAUGAUUUCUAAUUCAUGAGAUCUCGAUCUUAAUCACUAGGUCAAGAUGAUUUUGACAUUUGAACCGAUUACCUCUAAUUCAUGUGAUCUCAACGUUAGUCACUAGAUCAAGGUCUUCUUGAUGGCGUUUAACUUAUUAAUUGUUCACGUUAGUAGCUAAAGAGGACACAGCUUUGGAAGGAGCAAAAUCAUUUUGAGAGUUGAUGUCUUCAAGAAGUGGAGACGCAUAAAAAUGCUUUUCCAAUUUUCUUCUAUAUAAGUAUGUUAUUACGCACUUGAAUUCAAGUUGUUUCUGUUAUAGUACUAUGCUUGCUUUAUGACAUUUUUAGCAAAAAUUUGGGAAAUCGAAUUGUCACACAAGAUCUAAAAAACCUAAGCCCCCAACCUAUAUAAAAUGUUUCUCAUUGUUUUUCUUUAUUAUUAUUUUUAAACAUAUAAACCCCCCCAAAAAAAAAAAAAAAAACUCUUCAAGAGUGAAAGACCAAAAUGCAUGUUUAAUAGCUACGUGUUACAAAUAGUUUGUUCAUUAUCACUUAUCAGGCUAAUACUCACUUCAAAACAUGAUGAAAUAAAUUUGGAUCUUCACAUUUUGUAGAUAAAGGAGAAGUAGAACUUGACAAAAUCAAGAAGUUCCACUCUAGGAAUCUUGACUGUAUCCAUGGACGUUCAGAGUAGAAAAUGUGCACUAAAAUUUUCGUACAAUACUUGAGUACUAAAACAAAGAUAAGAUAGUGGGGUUAAAUUAAUCGUCCAUUGGAACUCUAAGGGUUAUCCUUUUGGAUGAGAUAUAAAAAAAAACCCAUAAAAAACCCUGAUUGGGUGUUCUGGUUGGUAUCCUGGAAUCAAGUAGAAAUGGUAAACACCAGCAAACAAGCGAUGACUUUGAGCAAAUUAUAGAGCUGACUGCAGAUGAACAAUGAUCCUAAGGGAAUUAAUGUAAUGUUUUCUUGAGGAGGGCCCUGGGAUUUCUAUAUAUAGUAUAACCCGUGUCCAUCAAGGUUUUUCUUGAAGAAACAUUUGACCAGCAGGAAGGGAUAUAAAGGUUCUAAUCAAAUCAUUAUUAACCAUUCCAAACAAGGAGAGCACGGUUUGUACGUCCAACCAUGGGUACCCAGUACCACCAACAAAAGAAACCCUCCAACCUUGAGCUAUCAACAUUAAUUCUGUUCAUGGGAUUAACAUAUAGAACCAAAAAAAAAAAAAAAAAAAAAAAAACCCAGUGAUUCAAGAAACAAAACAAUCAUUGAGGAUUGGAUGGUUACAAUAUUAAUGAACGAGAUUUGUCAUGUGGGACUUGAAUUGAAUGCAAGGUUGGAAAAUGAAUCAAGUUAUUCGACGCUCGAAUCGAGUUCGAUUUGGUAAAAACUCGUUCGAACUUGAUUCAUCAACUAGUCAAGUCAAAUUUAAACAUUGUUUUAUGUUCGAUAACAUUCAAAUUCGAUUUAAAAAAAAAACUUAUUCAAAUUCAGUUCGCAAAUAAACAAAUCAAAUUUGAACAAAAUUUCAAAUUCAUUAAAAUAAUCAAACAAGUCUAAACACUAGGGUGUUCGACUUGAUUAGAUUCAUUUACACCCCUAAUUGAAUGUAAAUGUGAUGUGAUCAAAUUCUCAUCUUAUUAUUAAUUCUUAAUGAUUGAUCUUCUCAGAGGGUCGAUUGUAUAUUUCGCUCGAGUUAUUUUUAGAAAUGGUUCUUGUAACAAUUCCUGUCUACCCUCUACCGCAUAAAAAACAAAAAAAUUGUGUUCAAAUUCUGCGCUUUCACCAUUCCUUCUUCGGUAGAGAAUUAGAGAUAUGUAGCUAACCUUGUCAAGAGACAGCCAAAGCUUGCCCAUAUUAUACCCGGCAUCUGACAUUAAUAUAUGCUUAGCACUACAAAUAAUGAGGCUUCGAACGUUUUUCUUUUUCUGGUAUCCUUACUAUUUUGCUGUCUAUGUCUCGAAACUGUGAUUAUGCACAAUAGCAACCGCAAAAAUUAUCAGUAACAUGCAUCUAGUAACUGGCACUCCCUGCAACUUCCUAAUAAACCUUUAAACCUGAUUCAGCAAGGACAGCCCUACGCAUUCUUUAUUCUAGCAAGUGUUUAUUUCUCAAUUCGACAUUUUCUUUUUUAAUUUCUCAAAACAACUGUCAAGAGAGAGGGAAAGUGUUCUUUUUUAAGAAGAAUCCUUAGCUGGUGUCUUUUCGAGGAGUUUCUUCAACUACCGAAAACAGGUGGAAUUUUACGUGGGAACUGUUCAACCUUUCUACCAAGGCAACAGAAAUAGUGGAAUUUUGAUGUUAGAAUCUCCGAAUGGUCUCUGUAGAUCCAGCUAACUUGUCACCUUAAUCUGCUAGGUGAUAAUUACUAUUACAUUCAUGUUUUUAGUUUUCUUGAACACUAAAUUAACAAACAUGCACAAGCAUUUUUUUUUUCUCCUCCUUCUUGUACGCGUUUUACCUGCAGAUUAGGUCUCACAAGUUGAGUUUUGUCUAAUUUAAACUGAUUGAUGUAAUUUUUACUAUAUUUGUUGUAAAUUUAUACAAUUUUAAUAUAAUCAUCAAUUUAAUUGUAUGAGUUGAUGAAUUCAAAUUUACAAUCUAAUUGCAUGAACUUACACCAAACAUUGUAAAAAUUAAGUCAAGUUUUUUGAAUUCGGUAAGCUCGACUUAUAAGGCGGCUAAUUCGUUGCUUGGUUGGGGGUGCCAUAACUUGAUUUGUCUCCACCCAACUUUACAAUGCAAAAGGCCAAGAAUUCCAUUAUUCUCAAACAUAAACAAGUAGUGCUCCUAGUAAAUGUAUUUCCUACUCUAUAAAAAAAUUUGAAGAAUUCCAUUUUACUAUCAAAUUAUGUAUAUAUAGCACUGGCGUAAUGCAUGCAGUGGCACCAAUCCAGCCAAAGGAACAUCACGCCACUUCUCUCAAACCUCAAAGGUGUACAGAAAACUUCCACAGGAACACUCUCAUGACUCGAACUCAUCUGAAACUUUCCCUUCUUCCCUGGCAGCACCUACUUCUAAUAGUACUUCUGCACUCAUGUCACCGGAGUCUUGGGCAGCAGCCGGCUGCAGCUGCCGCCACAACCACCAGAGGCCGGUGGGCUCUACUCCAAUCAAGCAUUGGUAUAUCAGCCAUGCACAUGCAACUCCUCAACAAUGACAAGGUGGUCAUUUUUGACAGGACUGAUUUUGGCCCCUCCAAUAUUUCCUUGGCCAAUGGCAAAUGCAGCAAUGACCCCCAAGAGCUAGCCUUAAAAGUUGACGGCACUGCACAUUCUGUCGAAUACGACGUCGCCACCAACUCCGUUCGCCCGCUCACAGUCCUCACUGAUGUCUUGUGCUCCUCCGGCUCCGUCAUGCCCGACGGCACCUUAGUCCAAACCGGCGGCUUCAAUGUUGGGGACCGCAACGUUCGAGUUUACAAGCCAUGCAGUUCUGGUAGUAUUGAUUGUGACUGGCAAGAAGUUAGUAACGGACUACUGCAGAGAAGAUGGUAUGCCACAAAUCAUAUUUUGCCCGACUCCCGCCAGAUCGUCAUCGGCGGCCGGCGCCAAGACAGCAGCAACUAAUCGGGUCUUUAAGUUGCCGUUUCUUGCCCAGACGAAUGAUCCUAACGUUGAGAACAAUCUGUAUCCAUUCGUUUUCCUAAAUGUGGAUGGAAAUUUGUUCAUUUUCGCGAAUAAUCGAGCUAUUUUGCUCGAUUACAAGAAAAACAUUGUGGUGAAAAACUAUCCACAAUUGCCUGACGGUAAUCCCAGGUGCUAUCCUAGUUCGGGUUCUGCAGUACUUUUACCACUAAAAAAACUUCAGGGGUCGGCCACAAAAGCCAAAGUUUUGGUGUGCGGAGGUGCACCGAAAGAUGCUUUUGCCAAUGCACGUAAUUCUUAUGAAAUCCUAAGUCAAAUGAAUCAUCCAUUUUCCUUGAUGUCUCUCUAUAAGUAUACUGCCCGAAAAGAGAAGUGCAAGAGAUCAAAUUAAUUGUUUGUGCAUCGACUGCAAUUUAUUAAAAUAGUUCUGCUCAAAAAGCCGCUUGAUUGUCCUUGAAGAAAAGAAUGAAAUAACAGACUUUUCUUUCCUCCCAAGGGGAAAGCCAAUUAGCUUGUCAAGAGGGGCUACUAAUGGAAUAUAUCAAGAAGCCUAUCGUGCUAGACUGCUAAAACCGACUGACGAUAGUUCAGAGUACGAAAUGCUACUUGUGCCAACUUCCAUAAAAGAAAAAAAGAGUUAAAAUGUGUGGCAUACCUGAAGCACACAUUCCUUUCUUUUCAAGAUAAUUCAGAAAAUAGCAAUAAUAAGUUCUCGUUCACAAACGAUUUGGUUGGCUGGAGAACAUUAUAGAUACGUAUAAUGGCGUUAGUUAGACGAAUUGAGACAGAAUGUGUUCGUUUAGUAUCUUGAGACAAAUUAAUAAUCUUUUUAUUUAGAUCAAAUGCUUGACAAAUUAAUACUAGUUUUUAUUAAAUAAUAAUUUUUUCUAGUCCUGACUUGGGUUAACUAUAUGUUGCACUGGACAGCUGACCUUUAUCCAAGAUAGAUGCUUGGGAGCCAUAAAAUCUUGUAGGUAAAAUAAUAAGUGGGUAAUGCAUCAGCUCAUGAACUUGGAUGGUUUUAUUGCUGUUAUUCUACCAUUUUUCCAGUAAGAUUUGGUCAUAGAACCAACACCAUGGAUGGUGCUAAUACGUUCCGAUUCCGAUGAAAAUGUAUCACCACUUGGCCGGACAUUCAAGAUUUCAGCUGGUUUUUACCUCUCUUUUUAUGCCAAUUUGAAUAAUUAGGUCCCUCUAGCCCACAAGAUGCAUCCACUCUAGGCAGGAAGAGACACAUCUGUGCAGUCUUACUUCAUUCACUUCUUGCCCCAUCCUAUGUUCCCUCCAUCACUCCAUCUCCACUGUUUCCCCUACCUACCUCAACAAAGCAAGCAGUGCAACCAGUUUUGUGUUGUUUGCCAACAUUCCCCCCCCCCCCCACCAAAAAAAAAAAAAAAAUCCCAACACACCAAAAAAAAAGUCUUGAUCGAUGUUUUGUAGAUAUCUUGUUUAGGUGAAAUCAUCUCAGUCCAGUAUCGUAUCGAAGAGCUCUGUUCCAGUGAUUUGAGACUUGAAGCAGAAGACGAUCGAAGACAGUCCACUGGAUAUCAUUAGAUAUCCCGCCUCCUAAAGCUGAAGCCAGCAUCUGGCUUAUUGAAAAAGUUCACACACCGAUGUUCCGUAGAUGUCUUGUUUAGGUGAAAGCACAAAAGGUUCUGUUGUUUAUCUUGCUGUUUCAUCAUGCUAGCAUUCCAACUUAAGUAAAAAACAUCCAGAUUUUCUAGACACAUAAGAACGUUUUGUUUUCGGCUAAGACUAAGAGAAUUGAACUUUGCAACAUAUUGGUUGGGUAAGUUUGGCCUAAGCAAAGCCGUUGUUCGUUGGUGACAGAAUUAACGAUCAGUAUGAUCUCUGAAGGCUGAGAGGAUUUUUGAGGUAUAUCUUUGUGCUCUUUUUGCGGUGAGAUCGAUGAUUAUCAAGUUUUUGGUUGUUGGAUAUUGGCAACUGACAUGAUCCUCAGUAAUCAGAUUACUUGAGAGCAGGAACCUCCUGAAGUUCGAUGCGUGUCCUUCAAAAGUACAACUUCAGCAUAACCAACUUCUGCUAAAAGGAAAGAAUAUAUAUAGAAUUAGUCUAGACAACGACUUUAAAAGCUCAAGAGGCACUGCUUGCUUCAGUGGAUUAGAGAGAAAACAGGCCUAAGAGGUUUGAAGGAAAACAAGCCCUUAUCAAGUUCUCUCUCUCUCUCUCUCUAUAUAUAUAUAUAAAAUCAAUCAACAACAUUUAUAUUAGACUAAAGGAGUGCUUUAACACCCAGACCUACCGAUGAAGAAGGGUUUUUAAAUUCCUUUUUUUUUUUAUUUAUUGGAAGCCACCAUCAUAGGAAAAGGGGGAUCACGUAUUUUUUGGGUUUUAUUGGGGUCGGGGGAGGGGGGGGGUGCAGGGCAUUGGAAUCACCAUUACGAGAUACAAAAGAUAGAGUAGAUACAAAUUUAUGUUUGAGAGACAGCUAACAUGAGAAAGUUUAUACAGAUCAUUAAAUGAUACAGAAACCUUAAAAGACUGCUCAGCGUGUCAAAUGUUCCUUCACACAUAUGAUGCUUAAAGACAGCUUUUACAAACCAAAACAUGAAAAUAGACUUGGCAUGCAGACACUGCUCCUCAUCUCAUUCUACAUAUACACACACAGCUAUCUCAUCUCAGACUCAUAACAGGCCAUGGUGUGACCCCAACAGCUGGAAGUGAUGGCCG
This 27504-nucleotide long non-coding RNA is filed under the name Coffea arabica (coffee). RNAcentral's name for it is "long non-coding RNA (CARA_LNC007067)". Lineage: Eukaryota; Viridiplantae; Streptophyta; Magnoliopsida; Gentianales; Rubiaceae. The record is from RNAcentral.